This 369-nucleotide ribosomal RNA is filed under the name Triticum aestivum (bread wheat). RNAcentral describes it as "partial small subunit ribosomal RNA". The record is from RNAcentral. Lineage: Eukaryota; Viridiplantae; Streptophyta; Magnoliopsida; Poales; Poaceae.
GUGGCAAGGGUAGCUUGGCGUACUGUUGGGGCGAUGCUUGGUACAGAAUUAUGUUCUAAUAAUCUGUGCCAAUUUUACUCAUGGUGUUAUGCUUUUCUUCCCCAAGGGGACCGAUAUUUCACUAUGGGUCUAGCAGCCAUAUGUUGGGCCAUCUGAAAUCACAGAAAUCAGGCCACUUUUCAGUUUAAGAAAAUGUCAUCUGCUUUUGAGAUUGUCUUCACUGCCUGUGUGCAUUUAUCCUAUUGGGCGGGUCUACUGAAGGGCGAGGAACGAACGGAGCUGGAACAUGGCGCGAUGCUUAUGAAGAAAAAUGCUAAGGAGAUGAUGAGACUCUGCGAGACUGCGUACGUGGGCAACAACCUGGAGUGA